This 253-nucleotide ribosomal RNA is filed under the name uncultured microorganism. Its description in RNAcentral is "partial 16S ribosomal RNA". It matches the Rfam family "Archaeal small subunit ribosomal RNA", at positions 474 to 727 of the family's 1478-position model. The record is from RNAcentral.
UAACCGGACCACGAGUGGCGUCCGCUUAUACUGGGCUUAAAGCGUCCGUAGCCGGCCGCCUAAGUCUCCUGUGAAAUCCCAGGGAAAACCCUGGGGCGAGCAGGAGAUACUGGGUGGCUAGGGACCGGAAGGAGCCGAGGGUACUCCUGGGGUAGGGGUGAAAUCUUGUGAUCCCUGAGGGACCACCAGUGGCGAAGGCGUCUCACUAGAACGGGUCCGACGGUCAGGGACGAAAGCUGGGGGCACGAACCGG